CACAUCCUCUGCUGGGCUACCUCGAGCAUGUUGAUCCAUCUAAUUCUACCUGAGGACAUGAAAACUGCUCCAGCUGCACCUGGGAGGGAAAAGGAGCCAAAAUCUUCCUCCAGAGUGGGAUUUUAGGAGCUGUUGAUCUCUCCCUGGUGAGCGGCAAGACGGAGCCUGAAUUUAUCUUUUUAUCUCUAAAUGAAGAACCACAGCUAGAGCACAGUGAGCAGGUACUGGGAAAAUCGUGGACUUCCAUGGACGAAUGGUUGGAGGAGCACUAAGAGGAAGCCCUGCAAUUUCCCGAUGAUCUGUCCUCCAAAGAACACGUCUAAAGCGGACUCCUCGGCCUCGUGGACAUUGUCAGUGCUUUCCAUAGCGCUGCCCGGGCUUGUCUGGGAAUGGGAACGGCUGGUGGGAGCUCUGGCAGAGCACCUGGAGACCA
Long non-coding RNA from Onychostruthus taczanowskii (white-rumped snowfinch), 433 nucleotides. RefSeq lists it as uncharacterized. The transcript has 4 exons. Lineage: Eukaryota; Metazoa; Chordata; Aves; Passeriformes; Passeridae. The record is from RefSeq and is a predicted model, not a curated record.